AAGGUGGAGAUUGUCACAGAGCAGAGACCGCUUGGACCAAACUCUUCUUGGAACCAAAGCAACAAGUCUUCAAAGAAGACACUACACUCUUCAGACUUGGAUUGUCAUCUGGGGAUGUUUGGAGACUCUCAUUUCUUCAGAGUGACUUACUUAAAUCUACUCACCUGAUAUUAUAGAUGGCAUUGGAGACAAAGCUCUCGGCUUCUUGUAGAAGCAUUCUCAUCCUGGGUUUGAAAACCACUCCAGGCUCAGAAGUGGAAUCCACGUGCUGCUCCUACUAGUCCCUUCACUGAGGCUCGGGGUUUGUGCCACUAGUUUGCAUGAUUCUGAAGUGCUGUAGUCAGAACUGGAACUCAGAUACUAAACCCCAGAGUCAGAGCCUGUCUCCUCUAUUUCUUCGGCCUCCAGUAUAAAAUUUUCUACAAUGGCUGCAUGGAGAAAACAGAAAGAAAACACAAACUAAGAAGAAUGGAGGUUAGACUGGAUUAAAGUUGUUCACGGAAGAGCUGCAGCCCUUUCCAUCUCUCUUCCUUCAGUUUGAAGCCCAAUCACUGGAAAAAUACAUACAUCAACAGCUGCCCACUCACGCCCUGCCCAAAUUGCAAUUCGUGUCUUCAAACUGUCUUUGUUUACACCAGAGAAAUUCAAUUAGAGCAGGUGUGCCAUCUCCUGGGAGCUCCAAACUCUCAUCUGCCUGCUUGACAUCUCCGUUGGGUCUACAUUUAUAGUCGUCUUAGAAAAAAUGGCCCAAACAGAUCUCUCUCUCUUUUUUUAAGCUUUGUUGAUGUAUAAUUGACAA
Molecule: long non-coding RNA, 799 nt
Filed under: Equus caballus (horse)
Lineage: Eukaryota; Metazoa; Chordata; Mammalia; Perissodactyla; Equidae
Description: lncRNA (ENSECAG00000054275.1)
Source: RNAcentral